UUAUAUCAAAGUUUUAUACGAUAGUUCUCUCUUUCUCGUGCCCUCUCUCUCAUAAUCAAGAGCAAAUUACCGAAGAGCGAAAAGCAAAGAUCUAUAUAGGUGAGUUAUGGAGCUCAUUCGUUCAGUAUUGUUGUUGAAUUCUUAGGGUUUUGCAGAAUCUCACUCUCUCUCUAACUCACUCUCUUAGAGCCUUCAACAUGAGCAAAUUGGGCCAGCCUCCAGAUCUGAAGAAACAAAUAUAUGGACAAGAAGCUCCAAAAUACGUUCCUAUUACCCCCCAUGAAUGCUCUGCCUUGUAUUUCUUUUUAUUAUUUAUUUAUUUUAUAUUUUGCAGUUUCUCUCUCUCUGAUUUGUGAGAAAAUUUAGGCAAAUGAAGGAAAAUAGGUUAUCUUCUUAUAUUCAUAGAUAUUGAAUUAGCUAAAAAUUAAAAUAAAAAAAUAAAAAAAAAAUCUUGUAGCUAAGGCUAAUGUUGCUGUAUAGUUGCAGACUUGGAGCUAAAAAUGCUUAUUAGAGCUUACAACUUAGUAUUCAAGCUUUUAGGUUCCUAUUUUGUUCCUCACUAUUUUAUUUUUUUUUAAACUGUAGCCAUUGCAUUCAUAAUAAGUUACUCUGAUUUUAUAGUUUCUUUGUGAAAUAUUGUAGUGCAACCAUGACUAUUUUUUUUAAAAUUUUUUUUAUAAAAUUGGGAAUUGUACGAAUUUUUUGGAAUUACAUUCCCUAGUGUGUUUAUGGGACCAUGUCCCAGAGGCUUUGGUUUCACCAAUGUUGGCUGGUUUUUGGUUUCAGACUAAUCUUUAGUUGGAAUAUGGCCUUAGACAUUGUAUGAGCUUAAUUUGCUAGAGGGCAGCGAAGGGAAAAAGGAGCCAUUAGACUAAGCUGUUUGAAUUGAUUUGGUUGAAGAAAUUUCCCUUCAAGGAGUAAGUACUAGACAAAAUUAGAGGCUAAUGAAGUACCUUCCUUGAUGAUAAAGUGAGUUACUUGACAAAUAAAACUCUAAGAAGAGAAGAAAGGGGAGAAGAGGGUUCAAAUAAUUCCCCUUAACUAAUCUGCGAAAAAGAGGGUUCCAAUCCUCCCUUUGUAAACUAGUUUGGGCUGCAUCAAUGUAUCAUGUUUGGAUUCAGAGAAAUGCUACAAUGUUUAAUGGAAGAAUCUUGUUAGAGGAGGCUCUAAUGCAAUAGAUCAAAAAUUAUGUGAGGUUGUGUGCAGGUAGUUGCAAAGCAGUGACCAUUUCACAUUGUUAUAGGGUCUUAUGUAGUAAGUGGAACAUUUCUUUCUUUGUUUUAAGUGCUAGAACAGGUUAAGGGUUGGUGUCUGACUUUUGACCCUGUGCUGUUGGAGUCUCAGGUUUCCCCUAAUGAGAAUUGGUGUUUAUAUUUCUAGUUUGAUUUAUUGAUCAAUAAUAUCACUUAUUAAUUAGAAAAACUUAGGGUGGAAGCAUCAUCAAGGUGAAAAAUGAACUUUUUAGUCCGAUUUUCAUUCAUUUUUGCAGGAAACUUGUGGAACCUAUGGUAUUUCCAGCAUCUACACAUUUAACAACAAGAAUUAAAGCUCGCUACAACUAGAGGUUCCUUUGGGAAGCUUGGCAAGUUUUAAACCUUAUCAUCUUGAUCAUAGCUGCCGUAUUGUCAUUAGCACUUGGAAUUAAAACAGAGGAUGCAAAUGGAGGCAUUAAGUGCAAAACGUAGCUAAUUGGGCGAUCUGGACAGCUUUGACAUCGCUUUGUAAUCUGGGUAUAACUCUCUCAUCCAAGCUCUGAUUGAGAUGAUUCAAGAUGCUAUGAAACGCCAAGACAAAGCUCUACAACUUUCGUGCUUUGAGUUUUAAGAUAUACGGGCUACAUCAAGGUCGAAAUCGGGCUUGAAUUUGCUGCACCUGCACUGCUGACGUUCUGGAAUGUUCCUUUGCUUGAAAUUCUAACACGCGUAUCUGAUGUGGUUUAUUUUUGGAAGCCUCUAGAUCUGGUGCACGAAAUUUCCAACUGAAAAACACCACUUUCCUAGUUGUAUUAGGACUUUGUUUUAUUUUUAAUAUUUUUCCUUAAUUAGU
This is a long non-coding RNA of Quercus lobata, 2046 nucleotides long. RefSeq lists it as uncharacterized. The record is from RefSeq and is a predicted model, not a curated record. The transcript has 4 exons. NCBI's taxonomy places the organism in Eukaryota, Viridiplantae, Streptophyta, Magnoliopsida, Fagales, Fagaceae.